UACGGAGGGUGCGAGCGUUAUCCGGAUUCACUGGGUUUAAAGGGUGCGUAGGUGGGCAUGUAAGUCAGUGGUGAAAUCUCUGGGCUUAACUCAGAAACUGCCAUUGAUACUAUGUUUCUUGAAUUUUCUGGAGGUCAGCGGAAUAUGUCAUGUAGCGGUGAAAUGCUUAGAUAUGACAUAUAACACCAAUUGCGAAGGCAGCUGGCUACAGGGAUAUUGACACUGAGGCACGAAAGCGUGGGGAUCAAACAGG
Molecule: ribosomal RNA, 253 nt
Filed under: uncultured bacterium
Lineage: Bacteria
Description: partial 16S ribosomal RNA
Rfam family: Bacterial small subunit ribosomal RNA
Source: RNAcentral